GGCUCGGUAGCUCAGUUGGUAGAGCAGAGGACUGAAAAUCCUUGUGUCGUCGGUUCGAUUCCGACCUGAGCCACCA
RNAcentral lists this transfer RNA (76 nucleotides) under Opitutus sp. RNAcentral's name for it is "tRNA-Phe". It matches the Rfam family "tRNA". Rfam says of the family: Transfer RNA (tRNA) molecules are approximately 80 nucleotides in length. Their secondary structure includes four short double-helical elements and three loops (D, anti-codon, and T loops). Further hydrogen bonds mediate the characteristic L-shaped molecular structure. tRNAs have two regions of fundamental functional importance: the anti-codon, which is responsible for specific mRNA codon recognition, and the 3' end, to which the tRNAs corresponding amino acid is attached (by aminoacyl-tRNA synthetases). tRNAs cope with the degeneracy of the genetic code in two manners: having more than one tRNA (with a specific anti-codon) for a particular amino acid; and 'wobble' base-pairing, i.e. permitting non-standard base-pairing at the 3rd anti-codon position. RNAcentral also lists the same sequence under 5 other names. Lineage: Bacteria; Pseudomonadati; Verrucomicrobiota; Opitutia; Opitutales; Opitutaceae. The record is from RNAcentral.